AGAGUUUGAUCCUGGCUCAGGAUGAACGCUGGCGGCGUGCCUAAUACAUGCAAGUCGAGCGAACGGACGAGAAGCUUGCUUCUCUGAUGUUAGCGGCGGACGGGUGAGUAACACGUGGAUAACCUACCUAUAAGACUGGGAUAACUUCGGGAAACCGGAGCUAAUACCGGAUAAUAUUUUGAACCGCAUGGUUCAAAAGUGAAAGACGGUCUUGCUGUCACUUAUAGAUGGAUCCGCGCUGCAUUAGCUAGUUGGUAAGGUAACGGCUUACCAAGGCAACGAUGCAUAGCCGACCUGAGAGGGUGAUCGGCCACACUGGAACUGAGACACGGUCCAGACUCCUACGGGAGGCGAC
Molecule: ribosomal RNA, 355 nt
Filed under: uncultured prokaryote
Description: bacterial SSU rRNA
Rfam family: Bacterial small subunit ribosomal RNA
Source: RNAcentral